AUGCAAGUCGAGCGAAUGGAUUAAAAGCUUGCUUUUAUGACGUUAGCGGCGGACGGGUGAGUAACACGUGGGUAACCUGCCCGUAAGACUGGGAUAACUCCGGGAAACCGGGGCUAAUACCGGAUAACAUUUUGACUUGCAUGGUACAAAAUUGAAAGGCGGCUUCGGCUGUCACUUAUGGAUGGACCCGCGGUGCAUUAGCUAGUUGGUGAGGUAACGGCUCACCAAGGCAACGAUGCAUAGCCGACCUGAGAGGGUGAUCGGCCACACUGGGACUGAGACACGGCCCAGACUCCUACGGGAGGCAGCAGUAGGGAAUCUUCCGCAAUGGACGAAAGUCUGACGGAGCAACGCCGCGUGAGUGAUGAAGGCUUUCGGGUCGUAAAACUCUGUUGUUAGGGAAGAACAAGUGCUAGAUGAACAGCCUGGACCCUGGACGGUACCUAACCAAAAACCCACGGUUAACUACUGGCCACCACCCCCGGUAAUACUUAGGUGGCAGCCUUUAUCCGAAAUUAUUGGCCUUAAACCGCGCGCAGGUGGUUUCUUAGUUCGAAGGUAAAACCCCACGGUUCACCCUUGAGGGGUCAUUGAAACCGGGGAAACUUGAUUGCAAAAAAGAAAAGUGAAAUUCCAUGUGUACCGGUGAAAUGCUUAAAUAUGGAAGAAACACCGUUGGCAAAGGCGAUUUUCUGGUCUGUAACUACACACUAAGGCGCAAAACGCGUGGGAAGCAAACAGGAUUAUAUACCCUGGUAUUCCACCCCGUACACAAUAAGUGCAAUGUGUGAGAGGGUUCCCCCCCUUUAUUGCGGAAAUAAAGCAAUUUACGCUCUCCGCGGGGAGAGUAGGGUGGAGGGU
Molecule: ribosomal RNA, 861 nt
Filed under: Bacillus sp. (in: firmicutes)
Lineage: Bacteria; Bacillati; Bacillota; Bacilli; Caryophanales; Bacillaceae
Description: bacterial SSU rRNA
Rfam family: Bacterial small subunit ribosomal RNA
Source: RNAcentral